UACGAGGGGGGCAAGCGUUGUUCGGAAUUAUUGGGCGUAAAGGGUGCGUAGGCGGUUUUGUAAGUCUUGUGUGAAAUCUUCAGGCUCAACUUGAAGACUGCACGAGAAACUGCAGGGCUUGAGUGUGGGAGAGGUGAGUGGAAUUCCUGGUGUAGCGGUGAAAUGCGUAGAUAUCAGGAGGAACACCUGUGGCGAAAGCGGCUCACUGGACGACUGUUGACGCUGAGGUGCGAAAGCGUGGGGAGCAAACAGG
This 253-nucleotide ribosomal RNA is filed under the name uncultured prokaryote. Its description in RNAcentral is "partial 16S ribosomal RNA". It matches the Rfam family "Bacterial small subunit ribosomal RNA", at positions 524 to 776 of the family's 1533-position model. The record is from RNAcentral.